UCUCCGUUGGUGAACCAGCGGAGGGAUCAUUACCGAAGUUACCUUCAAAACCCACUGUGAACCUUACCUCUUGCCGCGUUGUCUCGGCGGGAGGCGGUGUGCGUCGCGCGCCCUAGCGGGCCGCGCCGCUCCCGUCCCCGCCGGCAGCGCCAAACUCUAAAUGCACAGCGGACUGUACGUUCUGAUUUACAAAAAAAACAAGUUAAAACUUCCAACAACGGAUCUCUUGGUUCUG
This 235-nucleotide unclassified non-coding RNA is filed under the name plant metagenome. Its description in RNAcentral is "partial contains small subunit ribosomal RNA, internal transcribed spacer 1, and 5.8S ribosomal RNA". The record is from RNAcentral.